This is a small nucleolar RNA of Marchantia polymorpha subsp. polymorpha, 120 nucleotides long. It matches the Rfam family "Small nucleolar RNA SNORD14". From Rfam's summary of the family: U14 small nucleolar RNA (U14 snoRNA) is required for early cleavages of eukaryotic precursor rRNAs. In yeasts, this molecule possess a stem-loop region (known as the Y-domain) which is essential for function. Lineage: Eukaryota; Viridiplantae; Streptophyta; Marchantiopsida; Marchantiales; Marchantiaceae. The record is from Rfam.
CGUCUGUGAUGAUAACAUUAAGGCUUGUUUCUCAAACAUUCGCAGUGGCCGCCCUAGAGUUUUCGCCUCGCCGGGCUUGAGAAUUGAUGCGGUUUUAUCCUUCCUUGGAUGUCUGAGACG